CCGCCCGCCCCUCCCCGAGGCCGCGCCCCAGCUCGCAGGACCAUCGGUGACCACAGUCCCUCACACGGGGACCAGGACCAGCGGUGACCACAGUCCCUCCCAAGAGGACUAGGACCAGCAGUGACCACGUUCCCUUCCACAGGGAACAGGCAGCGGUGACCACAGACCAUUCUCACGGGGACCAGGACCAGCGGUGACCACAGUCCCUCCCAAGGGGACCAGGACCAGCGCCUCAAAAAGGUAAAGUGGGAAUGAAGAAAGCCAUGACAUGGGAUAACCACCGUCAGUGGCAGGUCUCCGGCCUCCCUACGCAGCAUGGUGACCCCCAGGCUUAUCAAGAUAUAAAAGUCCAUCCUGGAGGGCACAUUCGGCUCCGCAGGCUUCUCCCAGUCUCUCUACAGCUUAUGAGUGGUUGAACCAGAUUCAGAACUGCUCUCCAGAGGACUUUUGGAAAUUUGGGGAUGGAGAAGGAAAUUUGUUGUCAGAAUGAUUAAGGAAUGUCGUCAAUAUUUCACAACUAGGCCCAGAAGUUUUAACACCUUGCAACGUAUAGGACAUCCCUGCCUAAAGAAAAAAUGCUUUUCCCCAAAUGCCAGUAGAUACCUGUAUUAGUCAGGGUUCUCCAAGGAAACAGAACUAAUGGGAAAUUCAUAUUCGUAAAUGGAGAUUUAUUAUGAGGCAUUGGCUCAUGUAAUCAUGAAGGCUGAGAAGAACCCUGAUCUGCUGUCUGCCAUACGGAGAACCAGGAAAGCUGGUGGUGUAAUUCAGUUCCAGUCUGAAGGCCUGAGCAAUGGUGUAAAUCCCAGUUUGAGGGAGGAGGGGGAAUGGUGGGGGUGGUUGCUGAGAAGAUGACAUGAAAUGUGCCCGC
This 868-nucleotide long non-coding RNA is filed under the name Homo sapiens (human). RNAcentral's name for it is "HSALNT0197298". Lineage: Eukaryota; Metazoa; Chordata; Mammalia; Primates; Hominidae. The record is from RNAcentral.